This 411-nucleotide RNase P RNA is filed under the name Bacteroidales bacterium. RNAcentral describes it as "RNase P RNA component class A". It matches the Rfam family "Bacterial RNase P class A". Rfam says of the family: Ribonuclease P (RNase P) is a ubiquitous endoribonuclease, found in archaea, bacteria and eukarya as well as chloroplasts and mitochondria. Its best characterised activity is the generation of mature 5'-ends of tRNAs by cleaving the 5'-leader elements of precursor-tRNAs. The record is from RNAcentral. Lineage: Bacteria; Pseudomonadati; Bacteroidota; Bacteroidia; Bacteroidales.
CGGGCAGGCUGCUUUAUCGUUCUGAUUUUUAUCAGAAAGGAAAGUCCGGGCAACGCAGGGCACCGUGCUUCCUAACAGGAAGAUCUCUGAAAGAGGAUAUAAACGUAACAGAAAAUAACCACCCUGGAGAGGCAAUGCUUUUUCAGGGAACGGGUGAAAAGGCGGGGUAAAAGCCCACCGGUGUUUGUGGUAACACAGACAGCCGUACGUCUCACGGGUUGCAAAGCCAAAUAUAUCCUGAUUUUUAUCGCUGUUGCGGUAAAACGAAGCGGCCCGUUUCGUUUCCGGGCACACCGGAAAUCAGGAGGGGUAGGCUGCAGGAUCAGAGCAGUGAUGUUUUGACAAGACAGAUGAUAAAGGAUCCCGGAAAUUCCGGGAUUACAGAACCCGGCUUACAGGCCUGCCUGUUUU